This 423-nucleotide ribosomal RNA is filed under the name uncultured bacterium. Its description in RNAcentral is "bacterial SSU rRNA". It matches the Rfam family "Bacterial small subunit ribosomal RNA", at positions 917 to 1341 of the family's 1533-position model. The record is from RNAcentral.
GGGCCCGCACAAGCGGUGGAGUAUGUGGUUUAAUUCGAUGCAACGCGAAGAACCUUACCAGGGUUUGACAUCCUGCGAAUCUCCUGGAAACGGGAGAGUGCCUUCGGGAACGCAGUGACAGGUGGUGCAUGGCUGUCGUCAGCUCGUGUCGUGAGAUGUUGGGUUAAGUCCCGCAACGAGCGCAACCCACGUCUUUAGUUGCCAGCAUUCAGUUGGGCACUCUAGAGAGACCGCCGGUGAUAAACCGGAGGAAGGUGUGGAUGACGUCAAGUCAUCAUGCCCCUUACAUCCUGGGCUACACACGUACUACAAUGCUACGGACAAAGAGCAGCAAGUUCGCGAGGACAAGCAAAUCUCAUAAACCGUGGCUCAGUUCAGAUCGUAGGCUGCAACUCGCCUACGUGAAGGAGGAAUCGCUAGUAA